Molecule: ribosomal RNA, 486 nt
Filed under: uncultured bacterium
Lineage: Bacteria
Description: partial 16S ribosomal RNA
Rfam family: Bacterial small subunit ribosomal RNA
Source: RNAcentral
GACGAACGCUGGCGGCGUGCUUAACACAUGCAAGUCGAACGCUGAAGACCUGGCUUUUGUUGGGUUGGAUGAGUGGCGAACGGGUGAGUAACACGUGAGUAACCUGCCCUCUUCUUUGGGAUAACGCCCGGAAACGGGUGCUAAUACUGGAUAUUCACUGGCCUUCGCAUGGGGGUUGGUGGAAAGGUUUGUUCUGGUGGGGGAUGGGCUCGCGGCCUAUCAGCUUGUUGGUGGGGUGAUGGCCUACCAAGGCUUUGACGGGUAGCCGGCCUGAGAGGGUGGCCGGUCACAUUGGGACUGAGAUACGGCCCAGACUCCUACGGGAGGCAGCAGUGGGGAAUAUUGCACAAUGGGCGAAAGCCUGAUGCAGCGACGCCGCGUGAGGGAUGGAGGCCUUCGGGUUGUAAACCUCUUUCGCUCAUGGUCAAGCCGCAACUGUGGGUUGUGGUGAGGGUAGUGGGUAAAGAAGCGCCGGCUAACUACGUG